GACAGAGGGUGCAAACGUUGUUCGGAAUUACUGGGCGUAAAGAGCGCGCAGGCGGUCGAUCAAGUCGAGUGUGAAAGCCCCCGGCUCAACUGGGGAGGGUCAUUCGAUACUGAUCGACUCGAAGGCAGGAGAGGGUAGUGGAAUUCCCGGUGUAGUGGUGAAAUGCGUAGAUAUCUGGAGGAACACCGGUGGCGAAGGCGGCAUCCUGGACCAAUACUGACGCUGAGGAGCGAAAGCCAGGGGAGCAAACGGG
This 253-nucleotide ribosomal RNA is filed under the name uncultured bacterium. Its description in RNAcentral is "partial 16S ribosomal RNA". It matches the Rfam family "Bacterial small subunit ribosomal RNA", at positions 524 to 776 of the family's 1533-position model. The record is from RNAcentral.